GUCUCUGUAGACAAUGGAUAGUGCGUUGAACUUCAAUUCCAAAGGUCAUGGGUUCAGAUCCCACCUGGGAUG
Trichonephila clavipes is the source of this 72-nucleotide non-coding RNA. The record is from the annotation of a GenBank genome assembly. NCBI's taxonomy places the organism in Eukaryota, Metazoa, Arthropoda, Arachnida, Araneae, Nephilidae.